CUUUACGUUAUUAAACCCUUUACGAUAAUUUAUGAUUUUCAAAUGAAUUUUCUGUCAUAGCAUCGAAUAUUAUUAAUAAUUAUUCUUACGAAUCAGAAAACUUUCAGUGGUUACCGCGGCAACGGUACGUCACGUUACGCACCGUGACCCACGCUUCUUACCCAUAAUCACUUUUACCACUCAUUUCACCCGCCAAUUGACUACACUUUAUUGCAACACUUUUUGCCUUCACCAACACACACAUAUAUACACACACGCACACAAAUCAAAACAACGGCACUUUUAAGAGCCACACUCUCUCUCUCUCUCUCUCUCUCUUUCUCACUUGUCUCUUUCGAUCACUCUCUUUCUCUAUUUCUUCAUCUUGUUUUUUUUUUUUUUUUUUUUUUUUGUGUAUUGUUUCUAUUUGUAUGUGAUGUCCCUAAAUUCUGACGUCAGGGUCUUUGAUGAUCCCAAUGAUGCCAGGAUCCACAUGGCAGCAUUGAUUAGUGAUGCUUAUCUCCAUGAUGCCAGGGCUGCCAUGGCCAAGAAAAACCCUGCCUUUCCCCAAAGAAAAAUGAGAAAAAGCAGGAAGAGAUCCCUCACUAAUCCACUGGUCACAGGCAGGCGUGAGAAACGUCGGGAAACACACUGCUCUGCAUCAGCUGCUUCUCAAUCCAGAAGAAGGGAUCCAGUGCAUGAGGAAGGCCUUCAGAUAGAAGAUCAAGAGUUGGCAAGUCUUGAAACAAGACUCCAAGAGUUAAGGGACACUAUAACUGCAGACCAGGUUCCGGAGGGAACAGACAGAAUGGUUUCUGCUUGGGAACAAAGGCAGCUUCUCACAGAUGUGAGAAUGAAAACUGCUAGGCCUAUGCUUUUUGAUGCAAAGCUCUCAGCCGAGAGAGUAUCCGUCCAAAAUUGUCACAGAUGCUGUGCUGUAGAAGCUGUGAUUAGGUGCCUGGACUGUGUACCACUGGACAUGGAGUACCUCUGUGCUACCUGUGACAUGGAGGCCCACAAGAGAAAUAUCUUCCAUGACAGAGAGGCUGUGUUCCAUGGAUUUCUUGAGCCCAUUCCCCCUACAACUGCUGUGGUGCUGAAUGAAAAUGGCCAGCCUCAGUUUUGUGAACAAAUAUGUCAACUGCCUGUUCCUGCACCAAGGUCAAUUUGUGAAUGCACACAUGACUUCACAAUCACUCCAGGGAAGCAUAUUUCUGUGGUCACCAUCAAUGGACGAUACGAUGUCUGCUUGCCUCGGAAAUCCUGUUCAUCAUGCUCUGCAGAGUGGACUCCCGAGUUGAAAGAACUGCUCAUUUAUCGGUACUGGCCAGCUAGCACCAGCUGCCAGACCCUGUACAAGUUUGAUGUCUUCACCUCGUUUGAACAUAUGAAGGUGACGGCACCAGCCAUGUCCAGGCAGGCCUUCCUGAAAAUGUUGGAGCACAGAUCUGUUCAAGCUGGAAGGACAGGUAGUAUCUGUGCUGAUACAUUUCAGCGAAGCUUUUUUGAGUUUACCUUCUGUCAAUACAAAGAAGAGGAUAUGUGCCAGGUCCAUCAUUUUGAGUGUCCAGCAUGUUAUCCAGACAUGUUGGCUGUCUGCUCUGAUGGGAACCGAAAACAUUACCGCUUCAGCAAGUCAAAAGGGUAG
Molecule: long non-coding RNA, 1627 nt
Organism: Carassius auratus (goldfish)
Lineage: Eukaryota; Metazoa; Chordata; Actinopteri; Cypriniformes; Cyprinidae
Source: Ensembl